AGAUGUUAAAAGCAAGAAACAUGGGAGAGCAUCAUUCCUUUGAGAUUUUAUAACUCAAACCAACUUUGGAGUUGUCUGAUUUGGAGAGUCAUUAUUCUUGGUCUUCGCUCUUAGAGGCCACUGAUGAAGAACAGGCGGUUACUGGGAUGAAUGCUGGUCAGAGAGGAGAAUCUUCUUUCCCCUAAACUGAUGCAGCGGUGGUUUUAAAGGAGGACGCUGCCCUGGAUGGUGUAGAAGAUGUCAGAUGCUGUGCUGAUGGGGUUUCUUCAUGAUUACAUCAGUUAUGCUAAAGAGAUCAUGAAAAUUGACCGUGAUGCAUGAUCUGUAUUCAUGGACUAUGAAACAAACUGUAAGUGUAUAAUUAGUUAAAAAAAAAAAGUUAAAUGCUUUUUCUGUGUUGUUUAGUAGAAGAGUUUACACUCUGUCAUUCAUACACCUGCUCACAUUCUUUCACACACACACACACACACACACAUGCGUCUGUUAAAUGUUAUAAUAUCAAAGUUAAUGUUGUGAUUUAUUUGUGUACUGUCAUGCCAGAAUAGUUGGAAAAAAACCUAACUAAUUGUAAAUUUAUUGUAUGUGUUUUCGUAUAUUUAUAUACAAUUGAACAAAGUCCAAUUUGAUCUUAAGUUAUAUUCAUCAAAUGUUCAAUGCUUUGUUUAUGAACUCUGUAGCUGUUAAUGCCAUCCUUUUCUGCAUUUCUUCUAACAUGUUACUUUUUGACUUUUCUCUUGUUUUUAAUAAAUAUUUUCCUUUUGGUAAUUAUUA
Molecule: long non-coding RNA, 771 nt
Organism: Carassius gibelio (silver crucian carp)
Lineage: Eukaryota; Metazoa; Chordata; Actinopteri; Cypriniformes; Cyprinidae
Exons: 3
Source: RefSeq, a predicted model, not a curated record